This is a long non-coding RNA of Fukomys damarensis (Damara mole-rat), 550 nucleotides long. RefSeq lists it as uncharacterized. The transcript has 4 exons. Lineage: Eukaryota; Metazoa; Chordata; Mammalia; Rodentia; Bathyergidae. The record is from RefSeq and is a predicted model, not a curated record.
GGCUGACCUUGAACUCAUGGUGAUCCUCCUGCCUCAGCCUCCGGAGUAUAACUUUAGCGUUUUGUCAAGCAUGUUGGUGCUCAUCUGAAAUCCCAGUGAUCAGAAGGCUCCUCUUCAUCCCCCGAGGGUCCUUCUGUGGGGCGCAAGGCAAGGCUGGGGCUCUGGAUGGAUUCGCCAGCCUGGAUCUUCUGCUCACAGCCUGGAUGAGAAGGAGGUGACACAGGUCAACUCCGCGACCCUCCCGUGAUCCCUGGUCAGGCAGGCAGGCCACACCCGCCAAAGGAAGGGGCUCACAGGGUGCAGCCACAGCUCCAGGGAGCCAGGUCUUUGCCCCUUUUACAGAAGGGAGCACUAGGCCCAGGUCCAGGAGAUGAUGGCCUUGGAGAGGAGCCCUGGCCUCUGCCACCACCUGGGAAAGGCUGACAGUGUGAUCCCUGGAGGACGGAAGCUCCGGGCUCACCUUGGUCCCCAGAUGGUGAUGUCAGACCAUAAUGAAAGGACAGAAAACAUCCUCCCCAGGGUCUCACUAUGCAAUUCAGGCUGGCCUCCA